RNAcentral lists this ribosomal RNA (535 nucleotides) under uncultured bacterium. RNAcentral describes it as "partial 16S ribosomal RNA". It matches the Rfam family "Bacterial small subunit ribosomal RNA", at positions 355 to 895 of the family's 1533-position model. The record is from RNAcentral.
UGGGGAAUAUUGCACAAUGGGCGAAAGCCUGAUGCAGCAACGCCGCGUGAGUGAUGAAGGCCUUCGGGUUGUAAAGCUCUGUCUUUUGGGACGAUAAUGACGGUACCAAAGGAGGAAGCCACGGCUAACUACGUGCCAGCAGCCGCGGUAAUACGUAGGUGGCAAGCGUUGUCCGGAUUUACUGGGCGUAAAGGAUGCGUAGGCGGAUUUUUAAGUGAGAUGUGAAAACCCUAAAGCUUAAACUUGGGGACUGCAUUUCAUACUGGGAAAAUCUAGAGUGCGGGGAGAGGGAGAAAUGGGAAUUCCUAGUGUAGCGGUGAAAAUGCGUAGAGAUUAGGAAGAACACCAGUGGCGAAGGCGAUUCUCUGGACCGUAACUGACGCUGAGGCAUGAAAAGCGUGGGUAGCAAAACAGGAUUAGAUACCCUGGUAGUCCACGCCGUAAACGAUGAGUACUAGGUGUAGGAGGUAUCGACCCCUUCUGUGCCGCAGUUAACACAAUAAGUACUCCGCCUGGGAAGUACGAUCGCAAGAUU